This 538-nucleotide long non-coding RNA is filed under the name Gallus gallus (chicken). The record is from RNAcentral. Lineage: Eukaryota; Metazoa; Chordata; Aves; Galliformes; Phasianidae.
AUGGCACUGGGAUGGCUUUGGGGCCGUGCCAUGGCACAGAGGUGGCACCAGGACAUGGCACUGGGAUGUGACAUGGCACAAGGGUGGCUUUGGGGACAUGCCAUGGCACAGAGGUGGCUUUGGGGCCGUGCCAUGGCACAGAGGUGGCACUGGGAUGUGACACUGGGAUGUGACACAGCACAGAGGUGGCUUUGGGGCUGUGACAGCGGUGGCACAGCGCGGAGGUGGCCGUGGGGUGGUGCUGUAGGGCGACACGAGGCCGUGACACGGAGGUGGCUUUGGGGACAGAUGGGGGGCGCGGUGACGUCGGGGCCACGCGGUGACAAUCAGUGGUGGCGGUGGUCCCAUUCUUUGUCCCCCCCCCCCAUUUUGGUGUGUGUCCCCCCCCCGCCCCCCCCCCGUGUCCCCGCAGCACGUGCAGUUUUAGUGCAUUGUGGGCGCGGGGCGGCGGCUCCGCCUCGUUAUCCUUGUUAUUAAUUAUUAUUAUUAUUGUUAUUAUUAUUAUUAUUAUUAUUAUAAAUGCGCAUGUGGAACCUGA